Molecule: transfer RNA, 87 nt
Filed under: Armatimonadota bacterium
Lineage: Bacteria; Bacillati; Armatimonadota
Description: Armatimonadetes bacterium (groundwater metagenome) tRNA-Ser
Rfam family: tRNA
About the family: Transfer RNA (tRNA) molecules are approximately 80 nucleotides in length. Their secondary structure includes four short double-helical elements and three loops (D, anti-codon, and T loops).
Source: RNAcentral
GGGUGGUUGGCCGAACGGAAAGGCACCGGUCUUGAAAACCGGCGAGGCAGCGAUGCCGUGGGGGUUCGAGUCCCUCACCACCCGCCA